This 323-nucleotide unclassified non-coding RNA is filed under the name soil metagenome. RNAcentral describes it as "partial contains 5.8S ribosomal RNA, internal transcribed spacer 2, and large subunit ribosomal RNA". The stretch from base 1 to 119 matches the Rfam family "5.8S ribosomal RNA", at positions 35 to 154 of the family's 154-position model. The record is from RNAcentral.
GAUGAAGAAGCAGCGAAAUGCGAUAAGUAGUGUGAAUUGCAGAAUUCAGUGAAUCAUCGAAUCUUUGAACGCACAUUGCGCCCCUUGGUAUUCCAUGGGGCAUGCCUGUUCGAGCGUCAUUUGUACCUUCAAGCUUUGCUUGGUGUUGGGUGUUUGUCCCUCGGGACUCGCCUUAAAGUCAUUGGCAGCCAGUGUUUUGGUUUUGAAGCGCAGCACAAGUCGCGAUUCAAGGCUAUCCGCCCGCUUCCACAAGCCUUUUUCACUUUUGACCUCGGAUCAGGUAGGGAUACCCGCUGAACUUAAGCAUAUCAAUAAGCGGAGGA